This 303-nucleotide unclassified non-coding RNA is filed under the name uncultured Leucosporidiales. RNAcentral describes it as "sequence contains ITS2". The stretch from base 1 to 52 matches the Rfam family "5.8S ribosomal RNA", at positions 103 to 154 of the family's 154-position model. Lineage: Eukaryota; Fungi; Basidiomycota; Microbotryomycetes; Leucosporidiales. The record is from RNAcentral.
AACGCACCUUGCGCUCCCUGGUAUUCCGGGGAGCAUGUCUGUUUGAGUGUCAUGAACUCUUCAACCCAUCAGUUUCUUGUAGACUGUUUGGUGUUUGGAUUUUGAAUGUUGCUGGUCUUUUGACGUAGCUCGUUCGUAAUAUAUUAGCAUCUCUAAUUCGAAUUCGGAUUGACUCAGUGUAAUAGACUAUUCGCUGAGGACACUUUUAUUAGUGGCCGAAUAAGAUAAUUGUAGACGCUUCCAACCUCUAUAGUCAAUUUUAGAUUAGACCUCAGAUCAGGCAGGAUUACCCGCUGAACUUAA